RNAcentral lists this ribosomal RNA (505 nucleotides) under uncultured bacterium. Its description in RNAcentral is "partial 16S ribosomal RNA". It matches the Rfam family "Bacterial small subunit ribosomal RNA", at positions 28 to 507 of the family's 1533-position model. The record is from RNAcentral.
GACGAACGCUGGCGGCGUGCCUAAUACAUGCAAGUAGAACGCACAGUUUAUACCGUAGCUUGCUACACCAUAGACGGAGAGGUGCGAACGGGGUAGUAACGCGUAGGUAACCUGCCUGGUAGCUUGGGGUAACUAUGGGAAACGAUAGCUAAUACCGCAUAAUAUUAAUUAUUGCAUGAUAAUUAAUUGAAAUGUGCAAUUGCACCACUACCAGAUGGACCUGCGUUGUAUUAGCUAGUAGGUGAGGUAACGGCUCACCUAGGCGAUGAUACAUAGCCGACCUGAUAGGGUGAUCGGCCAGACUGGGAGUGUGACACGGCACAGACGCAUACGGAAGGGAGCCGUACGGAAUCUUGGGGCAUGGGCGGAAGUCAGAGCGAGCAACGCGGCGGGAGUGAAGAAGGUUUCCGGGUCGUAGAGGUCUGCUGUAAGAGAAGAAAGGGUGUGAGCGUGGAACGUUCACUGUGUGACGGUAACUUAUAAGAAAGCGACGGCUAACUACGUG